AAACAUGGUUUUUAGAAAUUAUUAAAAAUCUAACCUGCUCAAUGCUUAGUAAAUAGCCGCAGUAUUUUGACUGUGCAAAGGUAGCAUAAUCAUUUGUCUUUUAAUUGGAGACUGGAAUGAAAGGUUUGACUAAAUAUUUUUGUCUUAUAAUGAUAUUUUGAAAUUUAUAAUUUAGUAAAAAAGCUAAAAUUAUAUAUAGGGACGAGAAGACCCUAUCAAGUUUUACAAUCAAAAAUUUAUUUUCAAAUUAAAUAAAAAAUUGUUUUGCUGGGGCAGCAGAUAAAAUUUUUUUAUUUUUACAUUAUGAUAAAUAAAUCUUGAAAAAUCAAAAAAUUUCUAAUUAAGAAUAAAUUACUGUAGGGAUAACAGCAUAAUUUUUUUAAAGAGUUCUUAUCAUCAAAAAAGUUUGUGACCUCGAUGUUGGAUUAAAAUUCCUGCUUCGUGCAAUAAUGAAGUAAGGAAGUCUGUUCGACUUUUAAAUUUUUCCAUGAUCUGA
This 496-nucleotide ribosomal RNA is filed under the name Mesomexovis aff. punctatus 34scrp. RNAcentral describes it as "partial 16S ribosomal RNA". It matches the Rfam family "Bacterial large subunit ribosomal RNA", at positions 1873 to 2608 of the family's 2925-position model. Lineage: Eukaryota; Metazoa; Arthropoda; Arachnida; Scorpiones; Vaejovidae. The record is from RNAcentral.